AACGAACGCUGGCGGCAGGCUUAACACAUGCAAGUCGAGCGCCCCGCAAGGGGAGCGGCAGACGGGUGAGUAACGCGUGGGAACGUACCUUUUGGUUCGGAACAACUCCGGGAAACUGGAGCUAAUACCGGAUAAGCCCUAACGGGGAAAGAUUUAUCGCCGAAAGAUCGGCCCGCGUCUGAUUAGCUAGUUGGUGAGGUAACGGCUCACCAAGGCGACGAUCAGUAGCUGGUCUGAGAGGAUGAUCAGCCACACUGGGACUGGGACACGGCCCAGACUCCCCCGGGGGGGGGAGGUGGGGGAAAUUGGGAAAAGGGGGCAAACCCCAGCCCCAGCUGCGCCGUGAGAGUGAAGAAGGCUAGGGGUUUAAAACCCUUUUUUGCCGGAAAAUAAAGGGUGUGCCCGGAAAAAAAGCCCCCGGUAAAAUUUC
This 430-nucleotide ribosomal RNA is filed under the name uncultured bacterium. RNAcentral describes it as "partial 16S ribosomal RNA". It matches the Rfam family "Bacterial small subunit ribosomal RNA", at positions 29 to 505 of the family's 1533-position model. The record is from RNAcentral.